GGGUUGUGAGGUUAAGCGACUAAGCGUACACGGUGGAUGCCCUGGCAGUCAGAGGCGAUGAAGGACGUGCUAAUCUGCGAUAAGCGUCGGUAAGGUGAUAUGAACCGUUAUAACCGGCGAUUUCCGAAUGGGGAAACCCAGUGUGUUUCGACACACUAUCAUUAACUGAAUCCAUAGGUUAAUGAGGCGAACCGGGGGAACUGAAACAUCUAAGUACCCCGAGGAAAAGAAAUCAACCGAGAUUCCCCCAGUAGCGGCGAGCGAACGGGGAGGAGCCCAGAGCCUGAAUCA
Molecule: ribosomal RNA, 291 nt
Filed under: Escherichia coli
Lineage: Bacteria; Pseudomonadati; Pseudomonadota; Gammaproteobacteria; Enterobacterales; Enterobacteriaceae
Description: partial 23S ribosomal RNA
Rfam family: Bacterial large subunit ribosomal RNA
Source: RNAcentral